RNAcentral lists this ribosomal RNA (254 nucleotides) under uncultured bacterium. RNAcentral's name for it is "partial 16S ribosomal RNA". It matches the Rfam family "Bacterial small subunit ribosomal RNA", at positions 524 to 776 of the family's 1533-position model. The record is from RNAcentral.
UACGGAGGGUGCGAGCGUUGUCCGGAAUCAUUGGGCGUAAAGGGCGCGUAGGUGGCCACUACAAGCGUGCGGUGAAAGUCGGGGGCUCAACCCCUGAUCGGCCGUGCGAACUGGGGGGCUGGAGCACUGUAGAGGCAGGCGGAAUUCCGGGUGUAGCGGUGGAAUGCGCAGAUAUCAGGAGGAACACCGGUGGCGAAGGCGGGUCUCUGGGCCGAUACUGACGCUGAGGAGCGAAAGCGUGGGGAGCGAACAGG